RNA transcript from Cyanidioschyzon merolae strain 10D, 1904 nucleotides. RefSeq lists it as hypothetical. The record is from RefSeq and is a predicted model, not a curated record. The transcript has a single exon. Lineage: Eukaryota; Rhodophyta; Bangiophyceae; Cyanidiales; Cyanidiaceae.
ACUGCUACGAACUUUACCACAGCGUCUAAGCUAAACUCCCGCCUGCUGUAGUGUAUGAGCAGCACAGCGCUGCGUAGCGUGAAUCUGGCCCGAGUCCCGACACUUUGAGGCUCGUCUUGGAUAUGAUGCGUUCUUGGCGGUGCAGCAGCUCCGCUCACAGCACUGCGCACCAAGGUCUGUGAAGCGGCGCCUUACUCGCCAGUCUUGGUUAUGUUGCAGCGCGCUGAGGCAUUCUGAGAUUGCAACCUGCACUCGAGCUCGACACAUUCUGAGGAACUUCCGGCGUUCAGGGUUCGAUAAACACAGGUGGUAGGUGGCCACCACACGCCAGUACUGUUGGAGGGCUCGUUUCGCUUGCGCCGAAAGCCACUGUACGUACAUAGACGGUACCGAUAUGCGCUCUUCUGCUUUCAGCAAGUGUGCUACGCUACUGGUGCAAACUGGACAGAGGUGGUAUAUGCGUGCCUCCUCUAUUGCCUUCUCAAGGUGAGCGUACGCGUCCACAAACUGAGACCAGGCCCAGAUGCGAUACAUUCCUAUGCCAUUGGCGCGAUAGGGAGAACAUUUCAGGCGAGGCAUGGAACUUCAACUACUGAGCCAAGUCUUCCAACAAGUUUCAGGAACCGAAUGUUAUUUAUGAAUUAGCUAGUGUCGUGUCUUGAGCAGACCAAGGCUUGGGUUGCGCUGUUCAUCGACAGGUGGACAAGCAUCCAUUUGACCAGAGAGUGAUUGUUGGACAUCUACGGUUCCUCUUCUGGAUGGUUUAGAUCCUUGAAAUCAGGAAGCAGGUCGCCGUGAUCUUGAACGAAUUCCUUCGUAGGCAAAAUGCCAGUCGCAGGUCUCAAUGGGGCGGCCCUCACUUUCUCCCGCGUUGUAUGAUACGGUCUCUCGCUGAAGCGCGAACUGCGGAUGGAGAGCCAUGCCAAAUCCAUGCAACCCUUGCUGCUUUUUAUGGAAUGUGUGCUGUCUUGCAUGCUGUUCCUAAUCACACUGCCGUGUACUUCAAGGCGAUGAGCGGCAUGCUUGGCGCUGUCGGAUGCGAGCGACCGAGCAUCAUCUAAACCGUCGUUCCGGUCGAGGAUGAAAGUACGACAUAGCCGCUGCGGCGGUGUCGCGGAGCGGUGCCUGUAUUUGACCUCUUAAAAUUGGAUCUUUUUUUCGAAGCUGUAUGCGCAUCAAGGCAGUCUGGUGAAGCACGAAGGACGCUCGAAUGCAUUAAAAUCCUCCAAAGAGAGACUAGCGGAGUGGGACGUUUGGAAUGACCGAGCGAGCUGUGACCUGUAUUGUCGGAUUUUUUGGUCUAUAGUAUAGCAAACAGGAGCUUUUCAUUCGUCACUGAGAAAGCGGCCUGCAAUGGCAUCAGGUUAAAAAAUACACAACGCGUCAAUGACAAAAUGGAAUCAUGCUCGUCUGGGACCGACUUGAUUUGCCCACUUAUAGGCCGGGCGCUGACUGAUAUGGUUGCCUACUGCUAGAGCACGUUUUCGAAGGAUUCGCAAUAGCGCAGGGCACCAUACCUGGGUCCCGGUCUCAGGGCGGAGUCACCAUUGGCAUGUUGUUCUGGUAGAGCACCUGACCCGCCACAGGGCCAACAUGUACACAGAUGCAAGCACUCUGGAUAACCCUGCUCAAGUACGCACUUUGCUCGUCCUAAACCAAGUGUAGAGAUGUUGCGGGACUAGGGCAUACACCUGUUGCGUAUGGGCGUGCGUGCGGGCUUCUCGCCACAUCUUUGCAUACUUCCGACAAACGCCUUACAGAUUCAUCAACAACCUAUUCAAGGAUCGUUGAUCGACAGACAAAAGACCGCCGUGCUGGUUAUUCUCAAGACGUUCAGGUACAACAAUAGAGACGUCAGAAAGAAACCGAAAGUGUCUUCUUCCUGGGCCCCACUCGAUAAAGUU